RNAcentral lists this ribosomal RNA (809 nucleotides) under Acinetobacter baumannii. RNAcentral describes it as "bacterial SSU rRNA". It matches the Rfam family "Bacterial small subunit ribosomal RNA", at positions 112 to 916 of the family's 1533-position model. Lineage: Bacteria; Pseudomonadati; Pseudomonadota; Gammaproteobacteria; Moraxellales; Moraxellaceae. The record is from RNAcentral.
AAUGCUUAGGAAUCUGCCUAUUAGUGGGGGACAACAUCUCGAAAGGGAUGCUAAUACCGCAUACGUCCUACGGGAGAAAGCAGGGGAUCUUCGGACCUUGCGCUAAUAGAUGAGCCUAAGUCGGAUUAGCUAGUUGGUGGGGUAAAGGCCUACCAAGGCGACGAUCUGUAGCGGGUCUGAGAGGAUGAUCCGCCACACUGGGACUGAGACACGGCCCAGACUCCUACGGGAGGCAGCAGUGGGGAAUAUUGGACAAUGGGGGGAACCCUGAUCCAGCCAUGCCGCGUGUGUGAAGAAGGCCUUAUGGUUGUAAAGCACUUUAAGCGAGGAGGAGGCUACUUUAGUUAAUACCUAGAGAUAGUGGACGUUACUCGCAGAAUAAGCACCGGCUAACUCUGUGCCAGCAGCCGCGGUAAUACAGAGGGUGCGAGCGUUAAUCGGAUUUACUGGGCGUAAAGCGUGCGUAGGCGGCUUAUUAAGUCGGAUGUGAAAUCCCCGAGCUUAACUUGGGAAUUGCAUUCGAUACUGGUGAGCUAGAGUAUGGGAGAGGAUGGUAGAAUUCCAGGUGUAGCGGUGAAAUGCGUAGAGAUCUGGAGGAAUACCGAUGGCGAAGGCAGCCAUCUGGCCUAAUACUGACGCUGAGGUACGAAAGCAUGGGGAGCAAACAGGAUUAGAUACCCUGGUAGUCCAUGCCGUAAACGAUGUCUACUAGCCGUUGGGGCCUUUGAGGCUUUAGUGGCGCAGCUAACGCGAUAAGUAGACCGCCUGGGGAGUACGGUCGCAAGACUAAAACUCAAAUGAAUUGACGG